Molecule: ribosomal RNA, 253 nt
Filed under: uncultured bacterium
Lineage: Bacteria
Description: partial 16S ribosomal RNA
Rfam family: Bacterial small subunit ribosomal RNA
Source: RNAcentral
UACGUAGGGUGCAAGCGUUAAUCGGAAUUACUGGGCGUAAAGCGUGCGCAGGCGGUUUCGUAAGUCUGUCGUGAAAUCCCCGGGCUUAACCUGGGAAUGGCGAUGGAGACUGCGAGGCUAGAGUUUGGCAGAGGGGGGUAGAAUUCCACGUGUAGCAGUGAAAUGCGUAGAGAUGUGGAGGAACACCGAUGGCGAAGGCAGCCCCCUGGGUCAAAACUGACGCUCAGGCACGAAAGCGUGGGGAGCAAACAGG